AGUUACCCGCAAAAUUCACCAAAAAAAUUUCAAUUCCCUGCUAAUCUCCAUCAAGCUCCAUCCUUUUCACUGAGCUUACUCAUCCCUCCGCUCCAGUGCCUACGUUUGCAACCAAUAACUAUCCCCUACAUAAUAGUCCUAAUUUUGAAAUCAAAAACCCUAGGUUUACAGAGGAAGACGAUGUGAAAGUUUUGUAUUUCUUUGAGACUGAUUCAGGAUAAUUUCAGUUUCUAAGAAUCUGAAUACGGAUACGAUGGAUUAUGUAGAUCUUACAACGAUAAAUCCUAUAGAGAGAACGAUAUUGCAUUACCAGCUGCUCUUUUGAGGUACACAGUUAUUGUAUAGGAUUCGCAAUCGUUUCUAGAUGACGGCUGGUGCUGAAAUUGUUUGCAGUGAGGUGGUUCGUAAGGUGGAGACUAUGGACAAGUGUGGUUCUGGUGUGAAUGCAGUGGUGGUGUUGCUACUGUUGAUUAUAAUGUCGGUGGUAAUGGUAAUUGUAAUGGCAACGGCGAUUCCGACUAUGUGUAUGUGAACAGGAGUGUCGUGGUGAGUUUGUGAUGCAGGUGGUGUUAAUGUUGAUGGUGAAGUUGAGCAGUUUAAGAAUGAAGGGGCGACUGUUGAUCCGUUGGUGUUGGAGACUAAUGGUGUUGUUCACAGGGCUAUGAGUAUAACAAUAAGUGUUACGGAGGUAAGUGCGGUUAAAGACGAUGUAAAUGUUGAGAAUGGAUUCGUUGUUGAUCCUCAUGUGGUCCUGGUGAGUAAUGGUAUUGCUAAGAAACAAGUUGGUUAAGUAUUUUUUUUUAAAUCUUUUAUCCAUCGUACCUUCUUUGAUUAUUUCUUCAUAACUAUGAAUUUCUUCUGGGAUCCUUACACAAUCCAUUGCAGAUCCGACUAUAAUCUUUGAAUACUGUAUUCUUUUGUGAUGGUUUGAUCUUCUGAUUUUGUCUUCUUUGUUUAGAAUUUAAUUUUCUGAUAACGUAGUUGUAUAAUACCCCAAUUUUUGCUGCAACUUAGAGUGCUAGCUGGAGCAUCGUUGGACUAAAGGAACGGAAUAACAGAAUUUUUAAAGGUAAACAAAAGUAUGCUCAGGUCCUUUGCCAACAAAUUCAGGAUAUUGUUCCGUAUAGAUUGUUGGGUCUCUCUUUUAAAUGGUCGCGCCAUGUUACUUUCGUUACUCAUGUUUGGAAUUUCAAGGUUUGUGAUGUGAAGUGAUUCUUGUGUAUUUGGUCAUUUGAUGGAAGUGCAAAUUAUAACUUUUAUUUCAGAGGUCCGGGGUUUGGGUAUGUCUGAUAGAGCUGCAAAUUAUAACUUUUAUUUCAUUUCAGGUGGAAGCCUUUAUUACAAAAGCCUUAGUGGCAUACUAGGUCAAGAUGGUCGAGACAUAAAGUCUAAACUAUCUUGGAGACAAAAAGGAAGCUAUAAGGUGGAAAUAAGGUUUUUAAUGAAGAGAUUAAGAGGAUAUGAAGUAUGCAGAAGGAUAUAUGGUUAUAUAGUGUGGUUGUGGCUGAAGGAAGAUAGAAGGUUUACAAGAGAACUCAAGUUAUGACUAUGGGGUAUGGGGCGUGGGUUGGGUACAAAUCUCCAAGUUACC
This is a long non-coding RNA of Helianthus annuus (common sunflower), 1591 nucleotides long. RefSeq lists it as uncharacterized. NCBI's taxonomy places the organism in Eukaryota, Viridiplantae, Streptophyta, Magnoliopsida, Asterales, Asteraceae. The record is from RefSeq and is a predicted model, not a curated record. The transcript has 3 exons.